Non-coding RNA from Gymnothorax javanicus (giant moray), 73 nucleotides. The record is from the annotation of a GenBank genome assembly. Lineage: Eukaryota; Metazoa; Chordata; Actinopteri; Anguilliformes; Muraenidae.
GGCACAGUGGUGCAGUGGGUAGCACUGUUGCCUCACAGCAUGAAGGUUGCAGGUUCAAAUCAAUCCUGGGCGU